UUGAGGAAGAAACCACCCGUCGUGAAGGGAAUUUACGGGACACCUCGAAGUAGGAACGGCCUACNUCGCGCCAGCAGCCGCGGNUACUCGGAGGANCCAAGCGUUAUCGGAAGCAUUGGGUUUAAGGGCCGUAGGCGGACUUAGUAGCCAGAGGAGAAAGCCUUCAGCNCAACCUGUAGAAUUGCCAUUGAGUCUGNUAUGCCUUGAAUCAUUGUGAAGUGGUUAGAAUGAGUGGUGUAGCGGAUGAAAUCANUAGAUUAUCACACAGAAUACCGAUUGCGAAGGCAGA
Molecule: ribosomal RNA, 289 nt
Filed under: uncultured bacterium
Lineage: Bacteria
Description: partial 16S ribosomal RNA
Rfam family: Bacterial small subunit ribosomal RNA
Source: RNAcentral